CUAAAUACCGUAUCUCCUCCGGGAUCAUUAUCAUUUAGUGCACGUGCUUACACCUCCUGAUGAAGAUGUAAUGGUGGAACAUCACACGAAGCUACACCCAAAACACUUUCAUGGCGACCGAGAGAGAGAGAGAUUAAGUGCAUUGUGUGUUUGGUCAUGUGAUGGUAAUAAGUCAAAUGUCUCGCUUAAGGCCUGUCCCAGUGGGGAAAGCACAGAUGCAAAUAAUGAAAUUAAAGAUGCAUGAUUUCCAUUUAGCUGCUUUGAUUUCAGGUUCCUGGUAUCUGCAUGCUGCUCACUGUCACAACAGGAACAGAACCAUCACCUGUGCUUUCCCUCUUAUGCAAAGUCUGUUCUGAGAACGCCUCUUGUUCUCAUAUGAUCAUGUUUCUGUGCUAUGUUUGUCAUGGAUUGCAGAUUUCAGUGUAUGUUUCUAUUGUUGGUGGAUUACUUUUGUCACUAUUUGAAAGUUUGUUGGCUGUUGUGAGCUAAAAGAUAUUUUACUUUACGCUCAGAAAGACCUGAUCGAUGUCAGGUGGAGCAGGAUGAACGAGGAAGAAGGACACUCUGUGUUGCAGGGAGAGUUAGUAUUCUUUGGAGCCAUUGGUGUUUGUUUUUGGGCCAACCGGACAUUCUUCGGAUUGAUGGGGGGUUCGGAACAAUGGGCCUUAGGAACAAUGGCGUGGCGCCUCCCUACUCAACCUACUCGUUGUCUCAGUAGGCCGUUAUCAUCUAUUGUAAACCAAAUUUUGGCCGGAGCUGAUGAGCAACAAAUUGUAUUUGCUGGAGGGAACACCUUAACCAGCAGCUCCUCCUGAACCAGCAGCUCCUCCUGAACCAGCAGCUCCUCCUGUACCAGCAGCUCCUCCUGUACCAGCAGCUCCUCCUGAACCAGCAGCUCCUCUUGAACCAGCAGCUCCUCCUGAACCAGCAGCUCCUCCUGUACCAGCAGCUCCUCCUGUACCAGCAGCUCCUCCUGAACCAGCAGCUCCUCCUGAACCAGCAGCUCCUCCUGAACCAGCAGCUCCUCCUGUA
RNAcentral lists this long non-coding RNA (1032 nucleotides) under Cottoperca gobio. RNAcentral describes it as "lncRNA (ENSCGOG00000002125.1)". The record is from RNAcentral. Lineage: Eukaryota; Metazoa; Chordata; Actinopteri; Perciformes; Bovichtidae.